GUAGGUUGUGUCCGAUUUCCUAUUUAUGUUGUGGUUUUGAUUAGUAAUGUGAACAGAAACGAUCGAAUUCCGUGGGCCUGACGUCAAUUUUGCUUCUUUGUGGUUAUUUGGUGCUUUUUGGGGUUAUCCGGGAUUUACGAAGGCUUGUAUUUACUAAUUUCUUCAAAUUUUUUUGCUAUUUGAUCUUCGCUUAAAGCAAUCGAUUAGGAAAAGAAAGAACGGAACUAUUGGGAAUAACCAUAGUAAAGCGGAUAGAUUAAUCAUAUAUUAUGUGAGUAUUUGAUCCUGACUUUGUCAUUUGAAGCAGGGGAUGAAUCUAAUAGUACAUUCAUUAGAUUUAGGACAUGUUUUUCUUAUAAAGGUAGUGUAUAAAUUGAUAGUUAUUUGUUGGAACUAAAAGUGAUGGAGCAAAAGUUACUUGGAGAGUUACAUUUUUUUGGUCAUGUUGCUUUCGAAAAAUUACGAGGACAGAAUUAUGGUUAUGGUUGAUGAGGUACUUGGAACUGUUUGACAUAUUUUGUUUGUAUAAAUGUAUGACGUGGAUGACUAUUCACAAGGCAUGGGAUUGAUGGAAAUUUGUUUAGUGAGAAGGGA
Molecule: long non-coding RNA, 594 nt
Filed under: Phoenix dactylifera (date palm)
Lineage: Eukaryota; Viridiplantae; Streptophyta; Magnoliopsida; Arecales; Arecaceae
Description: long non-coding RNA (PDAC_LNC021009)
Source: RNAcentral